Molecule: ribosomal RNA, 237 nt
Filed under: uncultured bacterium
Lineage: Bacteria
Description: partial 16S ribosomal RNA
Rfam family: Bacterial small subunit ribosomal RNA
Source: RNAcentral
UAGAUAAUCUGCCUGAUGAUUCGGGAUAACACUUCGAAAGGGGUGCUAAUACCGGAUAAGCCCACGGAGUCCUUGGACUCUGCGGGAAAAGGGGGGACCUUUACCGGCCUUCUGUCAUCAGAUGAGUCUGCGUACCAUUAGCUAGUUGGUAGGGUAAUGGCCUACCAAGGCUACGAUGGUUAGCUGGUUUGAGAGAAUGAUCAGCCACACUGGAACUGAGACACGGUCCAGACUCCG